RNAcentral lists this non-coding RNA (27 nucleotides) under Homo sapiens (human). The record is from RNAcentral. Lineage: Eukaryota; Metazoa; Chordata; Mammalia; Primates; Hominidae.
UUACAGUUAAACCUGCAGAUGUGGAGG